AUGCUGCGCUCGCUGCUCUCCGGCUGCCUCUGUCCCCACGCAGGUAAGAAGAGUCCACCUGCUGAGGACAAAGUAGUGCUAACACAUAUGAAGAUAUUGAGCAAUGAAGGAAUUCAGAACCCAGGGCUAGUACUAGAGGCUCCUGCUGAUGCAGGCUGUACUGAGGAGCCCCAUCUCCCCAGCACGAACUUCCCACAGGACUGCCAGGGAUGUCCAAAUGCCACAGCCAUAACAGCAGACACAGACUAUGCAGAAGCCCCAGCAGGCACAGAUUAUGUAGCCACACUGCCUGACCUCAGCAGCUUUGAGUCCAAGUGCCGCCUUCACAGAUUCUCCAAAUUUGAAUCUGAGGACUCGGGAGUUGAACUGCCAAGCGGGGCUAACUCUCCAUCAACGCCAACAGGUUCAGAGAAGAGCUUUGUGCUUCACAGCAGAGACUCAUUUUGUGACUCAGGUGUGCUUAGCACCUCAUCUUCUCCAGAAAUUGACCACCUGAUAAUGAGAGCAUGUAAAGAGCGUGCCAGGAAGGCUGGCCACCAAGGUGUGGAGAGUGAAAAGAAAGAUGAGCUCUAUAGCCAGGAGUCAGACGUUGUGCAGGUUCCCACACCUUCCCUUGAAGACUUCAGUGUUCCUCAGGAAGGAGAAAGUCCUCAUGAACAUUUUGACCAGAGUGAAAGGCAAUCCCUGGAAAAAGAACCAUCCCCAGAGACGAACCCCCCCACAGAGAGCACUCUUCCCAUCCCGGUUCCCAUAGAGGAGCCAAAAACAAUUGCUGACAAUUACACAGAGACUUUUGACAGUACACAAGACCUUCAGCUCCAUGGACAUCAGCUGAAGAAGUAUCCCACAAGUGACAGUCUGGAUGAAUACAUGAAUGAAUGCUGUAGACUGAGCGAGGUGAACCAAGGGAACAGCAAAGCCCUGGGAUCUGGCCUGGGAUACCUGGAACACAUUUGCCAACUGAUUGAGAAGAUCGGGCAGCUGCAGGAGCACAACCUGCGGCUCCAAAAGCAAGUCUGCAGCUUACAGAAAGAGCAGAAGAUGAGCCAGAUAAAAGAGGAGUACCUCAUGCAGCAUUGCUCCUGUGGAGCUGCCAGCGUGUUCCUCAACUCGUACCAAGACAUGAAGACAUUUUUGGCAGGAAGGAGCAGACCUCAUAGCCUCUUGGUUCAGACUGGAAACCCUUCUGAUCUUUCAAUCAUCCCAGAAAUAGGAGCAAACACCGACAAGCUCAGCAGCUACUACGGAAGUGAGAGAUACCCAGAAUCAGGAAACAGCCAUCCAACAGCAGGGCUCAGGAAGUUGUCGAACAAUAGGAACAAGGAAAAUGAGUUCAGAGAAGGUGGUGGCAUGGCUGAAAGACAGGCUUUUCCACCAAAGGAUCCUGCAGCCAGAAAGGGUUUGGACACCAGCAAGAACUGCUCAGGUGAGAGCCAUGCUUGGGGGAGAAUGAGAGAUCUUAUGAGAAAGACAAGGCUGAGAAACCAAAGCAAGCUGGGGCUGUCCUCUGCUGCACUGAAGAGGUCCUGCCCACAGUUGUACAGGCCAGAUAUUAUAUCUUCGGAGCUGAGGAAAGCUGAGAGAACUGAGAGGAACUCCAUGAUUGUUUUGGGGCAAAAUACAAAGAAUGAAAACAUAUGGCCUUUCUGAUAACCCAAAUUAAAGGGGACAAGGAAGGAGAAGUGGGAACAGUGACGGACACAAAAUGGACAGGGGUGCUUUGUGCAGCUUUGCGUACCCAGCAUCCUCCAGCUGUUGGCAAAGCAACUCCAAUUUGAAUGUUGGAAGGCAAAGAAGGAAAGGGGAGGUAGAUAAAGGUCUGUGGACAGAUGCAUGCUCAGCUACCUAUGGCUUCGCUCCUGAACCUGCCGCAUACUCACAAGCCACAGAAGAAACUUGAAGCCAGCAUCCUGGCACCAUAACCAGGAGAGGCUUUUAAAUGAGACUUGAUAAUUAAUUCUUCCUCCUAUCUGUGCUAGGAACAGUACUACCUGAAUCACCAAAGCUUUUAAAUUAUCACUGCUUCCUGGGAACCUCCUACAGCUGAAAUGAACUUCAGCCUGUUCUUUCCCAUUCCUCACUUUCUAUUGAAGACCAGAAGUGUUUAACCCUGUGACAGUGAGCCACCAAUCCCUCCCUCCCUCACAGUGGCCAGAGGAGCACCAUAUCUAUUACUGGGUGCAGAGAUGGCCAUUGGCUGCACUCCUUCCUCAGGCCAGGGGCUGCAGGCUGCUUGCCCUCAGCACACUCCUCCCUUCCCAGCAGCACCUUGCCAGCUAUGAAGUUUUAAUCAAAUGCAACAAGAACAAAAGUCUGUAAAGCCAAGCUUUCCCCCAGGGCCAUUCACAAGCCCACCACCACCUUCUGCAAACACUCCUUGAUUUUAGUGCCAUCAUAACACAGAAGUCAACAUGAUGAACGGCACUGCAAGAAUUGGCCAUUAUAGAGAUGGGAAGGCACAUCCGAAGGCACAUCCAUGGCAGCAUCUCAGUCAUCCAGCAGCCCAGCUCUCUGCCAAGCAGUGCUGUCCAUCUUCCGGAAGAGCAGAGCUGCAAGGAUGAGUUACUCACGCACACCCUCUAUGUUCUGCAUCUAGGACUGUUCUCUUAGACCUCCUAGGUUUUGAGGUUUUUUUUUAAAUGCUAUAGCCAUGCUUGGUAGGUGCCUUACUGCCAUGUUUCCACAGAGCUCAAAGAACUGACAGCAUCUGCUUCUGAAGGUGCUGCAGCUCCCACAGUGAUCUCUGUUCUUUUGCUGGUAGGAGCUGGUGCAUUUAUACCUAUGGAGUAAAAAUUCGAGCAAGCCAACUUUAUCUCAUGUUACAGGGGCAUGCUACUCCCCUGAAUUACAAUAUAAUUGUCAAUCAGGCACUUGCUAUUUAAAAUCCCUUCCGGUCUACCUUUGGGAAUUGAGAUUUCAGAAGAUGACAGUAACAUGCUAACUUCAGCAGGUUUAGCCUUUCAGCAGCAGGUGCUUCCCCUUCACUCACUCAGAGCAGCUGGAACCCUCCAAGGCAGAGCAAGAUCUCUUCUGAAAUUCUGAGCCCAGUUCUAGCAGCAACAGAAAGCAAAGAGUUGUUGCUCACUAGAACAACAGAUCAUGUUUACUCAGUGCAAGUAUAAUUUGCAGGUGAAGUUCAGUGUAGCUGCUGUUAUUUAGCAUCUAAAAAAAGUUUGUGCUGACUCACAGUUAGUACCUUGCUGUGUUUAAUAUUUCAGUUGUCACUAAUUACAGCUGCUGUUGUAAGAUGGUUAGUCACUGUGUAUCUUGCUAGCUUCAUCAAAGCUAGAGAUAUUUAUGACUUGAUUAUUCUGUAAAUAGUCUGUAUAUCUCCAUAAAUCCCAGGGGCUAAAAAUCCUGCCUCAACUUACACCCUCCACCUGUACAGACACAAUGAGGAAUAUGAAUCAGUGCAGAACUGGACUUGCAGGGUUUCAAGAGAGUCAUGAACUGGUGUUUUCCCAUCCCCUACUACUCUCCUCACAUUAUAGGUGUUAUGGUUUUUAAAAUUAAGAUGAACUAGCACUCUUUUUUAUUACUGCAUUAUAUGAAAUAUAUUCAUGUAUUUUCAAAACUAUAUUUAUAACCUGUAACAUACUGUAUAGUUUGCCACUUUAAGAUAUGCUUGUACUACAAUUUAAUAAGUUUAAUAAUAAAAUCACUUGUGAAAUAACUGGUUUCA
This 3682-nucleotide long non-coding RNA is filed under the name Chrysolophus pictus (golden pheasant). RNAcentral's name for it is "lncRNA (ENSCPIG00010012715.1)". The record is from RNAcentral. Lineage: Eukaryota; Metazoa; Chordata; Aves; Galliformes; Phasianidae.